Molecule: long non-coding RNA, 2643 nt
Organism: Lepisosteus oculatus (spotted gar)
Lineage: Eukaryota; Metazoa; Chordata; Actinopteri; Semionotiformes; Lepisosteidae
Source: Ensembl
UCUUUUCAGACUAUAAAACCUUGAAGAUUAAUAAGUUAAUGCCACUCUUCGUCAUUCCAAUGGGAUAUAGUAGUGGCACAGCACUCCUGGUAUUCUGAAACUAUGGUAUAUACCUGUGGUGGAACAUCCCAAAAGAUAUUUCCAAUAACAGGGAGAGAACAACACCAGAGGAAUAUGAUGACCUGUUUUUUAACCAGCUGUGUAAAACUGCCAGUCUCCCUACCAACUCUGAAAUUGUACCAACCAGGUCCUCUAUGAGUUUUCAGUUUAAUUUAUUUGCAAACAUAUUUUUAUUUUUUAGAUUAAUUUAUUUUAUUGGGCAACAAAGAACAGCCUAUCCAAAAAGUGUAUUGAUUAAAUAAAAACAAUUUGAUAAGCACACUUCAGCAACAGGAGUGUCUCAGUUAUCUCAAAUUAUAGAUGUAAAAUAUGUCUCAAGAUGGUUUAUUUUAGAAAAUGCCAUUACCCAAUAAUAUACUGUACAGACACUGCUUUAAAAAUAGGCAAGAAAGUACAAAAAUAUUCAGUUUUCUUUUGACACGUUUAUUCUUGCAGUUUGUAUUCUUUACUUAAGAAUCCCUAAAUGUACUUAAUAUCACUUUUGUUUCUUUUUUUCCCAUUGGCUGAGCAGUCGGUCCUUGUAUUAUCUAUGUUUAGCUUAUAUCAUUGUGUCUGCUGUUAAACUAAUUGCCAACAUUUACUCUAGGAAGGCUAAAUGUAUGAUAAAUUGGUUGAAUGUACAGUACUAUGCAGGUACAUCUAAAUCUGCCUUAAUUAAAAUUAUUUUUAUGAGGACCUUAAGUCGUUGGCCUGCUUGAAAAAGAAAGAUCUGCUGCAAAUGGUGUGACAAGGUUUGCACGAUUUAUUUUGUACAGCACAGAACGCAUUCCUAUGUAUAAUCGGAUGCAAAGGCAAGUAAUUUUUAAACCUAGCACAUUUAAUUUAAUACUCAGGCCAAGCCUUAGCAUGUUGUAUAUACUGUAUGUAUAUCAUGGUGUCAUUCAAAUGUAUUUUGCACAGAACAAAAAUUGACAAAGAGUCUGAAGCAAAUAUUGAUCAAAAAGAAGAUGCGCAGAAACAAGGCAUGUAAUAUGAAAAGGUGAUUGGUACCAAAAUAUACUUGUAUGUAACAAAGGAUAUUUGUACAGAAUCAAUAUAAUGGCUAAAUUAUUAAGUUGUGUUAUUUUCAGUAAACUGUAGCCAUAUGGCACUCAAAAACACUUGCAUUAGCCUUUAAGACUCCAAGUUUGUUCCAUUUAUGAAUAAUGUUCACAAGACACAGAAAACUGAUGUUACAGUAAGUUAAGCUAGUUAACUUUAUGAAUUAUCUAGUUAUCUUUAUUAUUAAAAUAAUUGAUAUGGAAUCAAAAAGACAACAUGUCUGAGUCCUGGCUAGUUAUCUAACUUAGGAUGGAUGCUGGUGGGCAAAAUUCACAUUAUACUGUAUUUGUGUAAAAAGAAAAAUCAGAUGAUCUACUUCUGGUCAAAUCACAACAUUGUAAUUCACAAUGACCAGGCCCUCAUGAGGUUAAUUAUUAAUAAGAGAAAGAGAUAGCACAAUAAUUUUACAAUGCUGUGAGAUAUAUAUUUAAUAUAGAGUGAAAAAAAUGUAAGUUUGAAAAGAAAAAGAGAACAGCCACUACUCCUCAGUAUUUCAGACACAGAGACACACGGGGGGAUUGCUGUCUAACUGUCCUAGCAAGAAAACAUAUUUGAAAUAAACUUGAUUACUAAAGAAUAAAUUGAAAAGGUUUGUAAAAUGUUUCCCUACGUUACUAUUAAUAAAUUUGUACUUUUUGUGACUUUCUGUUAGAAUCAAUCUUUUUUGUAUUUUGGAAAGUUUGUCAUUAUUUGCAGAUUAAAUAUGCAAGUGUCUCUGAGAUUGUCUAAACUAAUAUCCAUUUGAACUUCAAACUUUCAAAGCUGACCCCUGGUAUAUACUUUUACUGUGUGUAUUCCAGGGUGUGCCUAUAUAGUUCAAGCUGUUAAAGGACAGUAGCUGUUAUAUGAAGUAUUAUAAACAAUAAUUAAAGCCUUCACUAAACCCUCAGUGCCUUACACAGCUUGAUAACAAAUAAGUUUUACCUUUCUUUCAACUUGUGUAUUUGCAUAGUUCAAGAUCUCUUAUGUAUUCUGUAAACAAGAGACCAGAGUUUAAAAUUGCAGUGUCAGCACUCAAACACUAGGUUAUCUAAUGGAUUUUAUGGAUUUAGUUUAGACUCAGGAAACCAUAUUGUGAAUAUUUGUAUUAAAUCAUGUUUAUUUCUUGUAUAUUUUAUAAAAGGGUCUAUUGUAAAUAUAUGCAAGAGUUAUAAAUAACAGCUUUUAGCUUCUGGCUAUACAGGUCAAAAGUAUGUAAUUUGUUUUGUGAUCUGCAUUAUAAUCACUUAAUAUUCAUACCUUAAUUAUUUAAUGUUUGGUUAAGUGAGAAACAAAUAAUUUUCAGCCCUUAAACCGGGACUAUUUGUUGAUCAGCUACAAGAUUUUACACAUAUUUUUGUAUUGUGAUCCAUGUAUAUUAGCUCUUUCUAUUCAUUUGUAAAAUGCAUAUAUUAUUGUAAUUUUUUUAAUAAAACAUAAUUGUUUUAUUGCUUCAUGAUCCCUUUGACAUUACAUUUAAUAUUAAAAUACUGUAUACAGUCU